ACCAGUUACUUUGAUCAACUCAUCUGUGCUGUGCCACGGAAGGCAGUGUGGUGGUCAGUUCUCUCUGCAGGGGAACCCAUGACUUCAGGAAGCUGAGGCAGCAACAAUACUGGAAAAAACUGAUCUGAGGGAAGGCAGUUGAUGGUGGAAAUUACUAUCCUAAAUCAAAGUGUUCUGCCUCACAGUACCUAUAUUCCAGUGGCUGCCGAGAUAGAACUAAGGUGUUAAGAAGAAACUACUCCAGGCAAGGAGACAACACCACAGAAGGAAAAGCUUAGGCUGCCGGUGUUGGGGCAUAUGCUUACCUGGGCUGUUCUGCCAAGACAGAAGAAGGUGAUGAUAGAGGCCUGGAGAUCAUUAACCAAGUGCAUUACGUGAGGAAAGGAGGAGAAAAAAACCACUGCAGGCACUGCCAAAUUUUGUGAGAAGGGAACAUUAUUUUGUGGUUGGAUUUCAUCAUGUGGAAAGCACUUGCAGGCAGAGGACAUAAAGAAGAGGGAAUGCCAGCAACCAUGCUGUCAACUUUGCAAGUCAUUAACAAUCUGGAAAGAGACUGAGACAUACUGUCAACUUAAGCAGAA
RNAcentral lists this long non-coding RNA (581 nucleotides) under Zonotrichia albicollis (white-throated sparrow). RNAcentral describes it as "lncRNA (ENSZALG00000004117.1)". Lineage: Eukaryota; Metazoa; Chordata; Aves; Passeriformes; Passerellidae. The record is from RNAcentral.